UACGGAAGGCAGCAGUGGGGAAUAUUGCACAAUGGGCGCAAGCCUGAUGCAGCCAUGCCGCGUGUAUGAAGAAGGCCUUCGGGUUGUAAAGUACUUUCAGCGGGGAGGAAGGCGGUGGAGUUAAUAGCUUCACCGAUUGACGUUACCCGCAGAAGAAGCACCGGCUAACUCCGUGCCAGCAGCCGCGGUAAUACGGAGGGUGCAAGCGUUAAUCGGAAUUACUGGGCGUAAAGCGCACGCAGGCGGUCUGUCAAGUCGGAUGUGAAAUCCCCGGGCUUAACCUGGGAACUGCAUUCGAAACUGGCAGGCUAGAGUCUUGUAGAGGGGGUAGAAUUCCAGGUGUAGCGGUGAAAUGCGUAGAGAUCUGGAGGAAUACCGGUGGCGAAGGCGGCCCCUGGGACAAAGACUGACGCUCAGGUGCGAAAGCGUGGGGAGCAAACAGGAUUAGAUAC
RNAcentral lists this ribosomal RNA (452 nucleotides) under uncultured bacterium. RNAcentral's name for it is "bacterial SSU rRNA". It matches the Rfam family "Bacterial small subunit ribosomal RNA", at positions 340 to 785 of the family's 1533-position model. The record is from RNAcentral.